This 406-nucleotide ribosomal RNA is filed under the name uncultured bacterium. RNAcentral's name for it is "partial 16S ribosomal RNA". It matches the Rfam family "Bacterial small subunit ribosomal RNA", at positions 29 to 526 of the family's 1533-position model. The record is from RNAcentral.
AUUGAACGCUGGCGGCAGGCCUAACACAUGCAAGUCGAGCGAGCGGCGGACGGGUGAGUAAUGUCUGGGAAACUGCCUGAUGGAUGGGGGUCACUACUGGAAACGGUAGCUAAUACCGCCUACCAUCAGCUGUGCCCAGGUGGGAUUAGCUAGUAGGUGAGGUAACGGCUCACCUAGGCGACGAUCCCUAGCUGGUCUGAGAGGAUGACCAGCCACACUGGAACGUAGACACGGUCCAGACUCCUACGCGAGGCAGCAGGGGGGAAUAGUGCACAAUGGGCGCAAGCCUGAUGCAGCCAGGCCGCGUGUGUGAAGAAGGCCUUCGGGGUGUAAAUCACUUUCAGCGGGGAGGCGUUACCCGCAGAAGAAGCACCGGCUAACUCCGUGCCAGCAGCCGCGGUAAUAC